Molecule: unclassified non-coding RNA, 200 nt
Filed under: Herpotrichiellaceae sp.
Lineage: Eukaryota; Fungi; Ascomycota; Eurotiomycetes; Chaetothyriales; Herpotrichiellaceae
Description: partial internal transcribed spacer 2
Source: RNAcentral
UUAAGUUCAGCGCGUAUUCCUACCUGAUCCGAGGUCAACCUUGAGAAGUUUCCUACUGAGAGGAGAAGACCGGGUCCCGGGCGCCCUUGUCCGAUACGUGCUCGAUGAAAAGCUCAGUGUACCGGGGGAACCACAGGCCGCCGUCAUUGUCUUUCGGAGGGUCGAGUCGCUCGACCGGCCGUCCAACACCAAGCACGGGG